CGCACGACUCACGGCCACAGGGACCUGCUACUCGCUCUGCGCGAUGCCAGGCAACAAAGACCUCGUCCAGGGCCCGAGGAAGACACAGCUCUCGGAGGGCUGCCGCGGGCAGUCCGAGGAGGUGCAGACCAGCUAGCAGAGGAGACUUGGGGUAACACCAGGACCCAGGGCUGCCUGGAGAUGCUGCACCUGAUGGGAGAGCCACCAGGACCAGCCAAGAGAAAGUUACAGAGAGAAAUCAUUCACGGUUCCAGGCCUGGGUGGGGUAGGGAAGGGGGCUGGGCCACAUCAGCUGCAGAUCCCUUCAUUUCUCCUGUCUCAGGUUCCCCUUUGGGGUGUUUUUCUGGGAACUUUCUGAUUCCAGGAACUCCCCAGUGGCUGGGGAGAGCCGGGAGAUGCAGGCCCACAAGAAGGAAAUGACUCAUCCAUUCAGUUACCAGCUUAGACUACAAGGCCUGUCUGCAACCAAAGCCACACGCUGACCCCCGCUGCUAGCUCACACCCUGGACAAGCAGUCCUGUGUGCCUGGGGGCUCAAAGCCCAAGAACCUCUGGGGAAGAGAAGUGGCAGUGGCCCCCGUCCUUAGAGAGGAAAGACUUUGUUUCAUUUCCAGGAGGUUGCACAUGAACCAGACAAUCAAACACCAAAGACGAGAUUGUCAAGUUAAAAGCUCAUAAAUGUCGCAGACUGUAAACAAAAUUGUGCUCAGUCAUUUCUAAAGCCCCCCUGGAAGGCCAGCUGGGGCCUUGCCUCCAGCAGAGCUAUGACACUGAGAAGCAGCCUCUCAAAGGCAGGACCACCGAAUAAGGACACCCACUGCUGCUGGGCUCACCAGAACCGGGGAGAUAAUUCCAAGCUACUCGGAUUCCCCCAAAGCUGAGAAUUCUUCACUGCUGCUAACUGAGGCUCUUUGUCCACUGUUUGGGCCCACUCCCCAAGGCCCUGUGCCCCUUACCCUUCCCUCCCGUCCCAGUGGCUAGACUGUCCUCUGAAGCCCACUCAGAGAGACAGUGGAAACAAGCGCGUGUGUCAGAGAGCCGGGAGGCACCUCCAGCUGGCCAUGGAAUACACAGAGGUCACUAGCAGCAUUUUGAUUGUUAAUGAGAAAGAAUGGAGAACAGUCUCCUGCCUCACAUGAGGCAGGCAGGGACCUGCGUGUCACACACUAUUCUCAGACCACUCACCUGGACAUUUAUAAGUGCCCCAGACACCAGAGGGACGCAUUUGGCCUGGUGGGUUCUUGCACUCUCAGUCUUCACCUGCAGAACACUGCAAACUGCAUCCACUUGCCGUUCACCUGCAUUGCCACAACCUUCUCUUCCUUCCUCAUUUAGGUCUCAGCCUAAAGGUUGUUUGUGAGAGAACCUUCCCUGACCCCGACUCACUUCCCAGGGCCCCUUCUCUAAAAUUCUAGCCUACAGCCCCACUGUGAUUUUUUUAAUGAAUUUUUAUGGAGGAAAUUGUGCGGUUAUAUUGAGAUGAUUGUACACUGUGAUGUUUUCUGUGGUCUGAAUGUGUGUGUUCCCCCAAAUUUCAUAUGUUGAAAUCGUGACUCAAAGGUGAUGCUCUUAGGAGGUGGGGUUUUAUGGUGGUUAGGGUGGAGCCCUCAUGCAUAAGGUUGGCAUAAUUAUUAAUAGAGACCUCUAGGGCCUCUUUGCCCCUUCCACCAUGUGAGGAAACAGCGACCUGUGAACCAAGAGCAGGUUCUUGCCAGACACCAAACCUGCCGGGGCCUUGGUCUUGGACUUCCAGCCUCCAGAACUGUGAGAAAUAAAUUUCUGUUGUUUAUAAGCCACCCAGUCUGUGGCAUUUUUGUUACAGCAGGUCUGAUGAACUGGGGCAAAGUUGGAAGGAAUAACAAGAGGGAUGCCUUGUGGCCUUUACCAGGGUUCCCCAAUGGGAACAUUUUGUGGAACUGUACUAGUGUGUUACAGGCAGAGUAUAACUUUAAUGCAACACACCAGUGUGCCCCAGAUUCCCUCAGUUUUUCUUGUACUCAUUUCAUUUCCUAUUGUACUUAGUUCUUACAACUUUGUCACAUGUGUGAUUCCACUACCAUCAAGAUCCUGAUCAGCCCAUCACCAAAAGGCCCCCCACAGCACCCUCUGAUAGCCCACCCCCACCCCUGAGCCCUGGCAUCCACAGAUCUGUCUGCCACUCUAUGUCAACUGCAGGGAAGCAUAUGGUAUCUAAC
Molecule: long non-coding RNA, 2194 nt
Organism: Manis pentadactyla (Chinese pangolin)
Lineage: Eukaryota; Metazoa; Chordata; Mammalia; Pholidota; Manidae
Exons: 2
Source: RefSeq, a predicted model, not a curated record